AUACCCUGUACCCUCUUAAUGACAACAUUUCUGCCUGGUAAACAAUUUUGUACGUACAUUUUUAUAUCUGUUAUCCUCAUGUUUAAUCUUUAUACUCCACAACUUGCAACUGACAUGCACAUCUGUCACCCUCCUCUUCACACACACACACAUACACACACAUACACACACACAACACACACUCUUAUACACAAAUAUUUGAACGGUGAGGGGAGGGGCUUGUGACUCAAACCGCAAAUCAGAAUGGAUCAAUAACAGAACAGUGUGAGGGGGGAAAACUUGUAGUAGUAGCUCUGCGAAUGUGCUGUUUGUUAUUACAUUAUUACUGUGUAUUUAGGCCAUUAAAAUCAACUUAAAGACAGAAGAAACUAAGAUGAAGACUGUCAUUGUGGGCAUUGGAGGAAUAACCAAUGGGGGAAAAUCUACUCUUGCAACAAGGCUCCACCAACAAAUACCCAACAGCUGUCUCAUUGCUCAAGAUGUUUAUUUUAAGGAGGAUUGCGAGGUGCCAGUCGAUUCAAAAGGAUUCAAGCAAUAUGAUGUGGUCAGUGCUCUUCAUAUGGACCGGAUGACAGAUCAUGUGGAGUUGUGGAAGAAAAACCCAGAGAGUUUUAUGAAACAGAAAUCUCUAAGAGUCUUUGAAGAAUCACUACUGGGCAAAGAUGUGUUUGUGCUGAUCGUGGAAGGCUUUUUAAUAUACAACUACAGGCCGCUGAACAGCUUGUACAACAAAAAGUACUUCUUGGAGAUACCAUAUGAGAUCUGCAAGACGAGACGAAGUACUCGCAUGUACAACCCCCCGGACCCUCCUGGAUAUUUUGAUGGUCAUGUUUGGCCAAUGUACCUCAAGAACCGUAAAGAAAUGGAAGAAAUGUUGUCAGACAUAGUACGAACAGAAACCUAAAGGUCCUAUAUUACACAAAACUGACUUGUGAGCUUUAAGCCACAGUGGAGAAAACACAAUUCAAGUUUUUGUAGACGGUUUACAAGAGAAGGACCAGCUAUUAGAUUCUGUGUACAAGGAUAUCGUGGAAAUCAUAAAGGGGCUCAACAAGUAAUUAUGAAAUCUGAAUCUCCAUAAAUUCCAGACAGGCUUGAUUGUAUAAAGGACCAAUGUGUACAUUGAAAAAUACCAAAGAAGUGAUUCCAGAAAGAAAAAUGUUAAAAAUAAUUGUGCAACACUUGUGGCGAAGAAAGUGUUUAAUGGUGUGUAAGUUUUCUGGUGAAGGGUACAUCACCCGCUUUUCUUUGUGGAGAUGUUAUUAUUAACUGUAAUUGAAUACAUUUUGGAUAACUUAAUGCCAUACUGUGGAAAAUUUCAGGCAAAGUAAUAACAUAUCCAUGGAGAUUUGAUCCCCCACCAGAAAAGUUAUAAUUUAUUCUUUAUUGUUAUGUGUGUGUUGUGAAAUAGAAGGAUGGUCAUGUAAUUGUGAUUUGUCUCCCCCUGGUGGUUAACGCAUGAUGAACAGGGUCUAUAGAAAAAUGCUGGAUUGUGGCACUUGAUCACGCAAUUUUGUUAUCAAACUGCACUGUUUUUGAUAAGAAAAUAGAAAUUCCAGCUCUUGUGAUGAGGGCAUGUGUGAGUUUUCUUUCUGAAAUCAGAGAUAAAAGAAAUGCAGAACAAACAGUGCAACAAAACCCAUAUUUUUUAAUGCCAUGUCAUGUUUUUACACUAUAAUAUAAUACAACUCAAUGUGAAAGUAUUUGAACUAUUCAAAUACAGUACUUGGACCAUGUAAUGGAUUUAUACUUUGUAGCUGAUAACAUUAACAUUACCUGGGGGUGUGACGCUAACUAGAGGCUCUGCUCUGUCUGAGACUUUGUUAGACUUUAAUCUGAGCUGUAUUUUAAUGCAAUCUGAUUCUGAAAGACUUGACUUAGUGGGAACUACAACAGGUGAGCUGAUUUGUGCUCUUAAACAGGUCUAUCAUGCGUAAAAUUACAGUCUUAAGUUUUCAUGCUCACCUUUUUGUUGAAAAUCAAACACCUAUACAGGACCAUGAACGCCUGUACUGAUCACAGGCUCCUGAAAAUAUGUUGUUUUAUUUUGGGGUUUUUUUGUUUUUUUUCUUGAGUUUUGAGACCAUCUUAAAACUUAUUUGACAGUGUGUACUAAUCUGCGCAAUGUCUCCAUGGUAACUUUUGAACAUUCCAUCAUAGACAUACAUGUAGGACACCCUCAGCGUGAUAUCAUUGCAAAGUAUUGAUGUGUUACAAAAUUCAUUUUAAUGCAGUUAUUCAGUGUUCUGUAACUAAAUGUCACUGUGUGUAAUAAAGCUUAGGAUCAGUGUGAAUACAUUUUUUUAAAUAAC
Molecule: RNA transcript, 2312 nt
Organism: Boleophthalmus pectinirostris (great blue-spotted mudskipper)
Lineage: Eukaryota; Metazoa; Chordata; Actinopteri; Gobiiformes; Gobiidae
Gene: nmrk1
Gene name: nicotinamide riboside kinase 1
Exons: 9
Source: RefSeq, a predicted model, not a curated record